This 756-nucleotide ribosomal RNA is filed under the name Pseudomonas sp. NRS281. RNAcentral describes it as "bacterial SSU rRNA". It matches the Rfam family "Bacterial small subunit ribosomal RNA", at positions 8 to 758 of the family's 1533-position model. Lineage: Bacteria; Pseudomonadati; Pseudomonadota; Gammaproteobacteria; Pseudomonadales; Pseudomonadaceae. The record is from RNAcentral.
AGAGUUUGAUCAUGGCUCAGAUUGAACGCUGGCGGCAGGCCUAACACAUGCAAGUCGAGCGGUAGAGAGAAGCUUGCUUCUCUUGAGAGCGGCAGACGGGUGAGUAAUGCCUAGGAAUCUGCCUGGUAGUGGGGGAUAACGUUCGGAAACGGACGCUAAUACCGCAUACGUCCUACGGGAGAAAGCAGGGGACCUUCGGGCCUUGCGCUAUCAGAUGAGCCUAGGUCGGAUUAGCUAGUUGGUGGGGUAAUGGCUCACCAAGGCGACGAUCCGUAACUGGUCUGAGAGGAUGAUCAGUCACACUGGAACUGAGACACGGUCCAGACUCCUACGGGAGGCAGCAGUGGGGAAUAUUGGACAAUGGGCGAAAGCCUGAUCCAGCCAUGCCGCGUGUGUGAAGAAGGUCUUCGGAUUGUAAAGCACUUUAAGUUGGGAGGAAGGGCCAUUACCUAAUACGUGAUGGUUUUGACGUUACCGACAGAAUAAGCACCGGCUAACUCUGUGCCAGCAGCCGCGGUAAUACAGAGGGUGCAAGCGUUAAUCGGAAUUACUGGGCGUAAAGCGCGCGUAGGUGGUUUGUUAAGUUGGAUGUGAAAUCCCCGGGCUCAACCUGGGAACUGCAUUCAAAACUGACUGACUAGAGUAUGGUAGAGGGUGGUGGAAUUUACCGUGUAGCGGUGAAAUGCGUAGAUAUAGGAAGGAACACCAGUGGCGAAGGCGACCACCUCGACUGCUAUGCACUGAGUUGGCACGUCG